This is a long non-coding RNA of Dermochelys coriacea (leatherback sea turtle), 1535 nucleotides long. RefSeq lists it as uncharacterized. The record is from RefSeq and is a predicted model, not a curated record. NCBI's taxonomy places the organism in Eukaryota, Metazoa, Chordata, Testudines, Dermochelyidae. The transcript has 5 exons.
CUGUUUGUUUAAAACAAAUAGCAAUUUUCUUUGUGUUACAUUGAGUUCUCACUGAAACCUGUACUCUUUUGGAUUCACUGUGCUUUAGCUUCCUGAAAGGGAUUGUUGCUCUGUGCAAGCCCGUGGAUUGCUCCUAAGAUUUCAGUUCACGGCUUCUGCAUGGGCCCAACUAUGCAAGUUAAAUGAAAAUGUCUGCAGUUGCAUUCAACUGAAGUGGGAACACAAUAUCAACAGCAGACUUGGGCCCCAUGUGACGUGCUAUGCAACAAAGGAUGAAAGCCAUCACCCAGACUAUGAUUUGGGAACAGAUUUUUAACUUGAACGUUUGAUUGGUGCAGUAUGCUAACGGAACCUCCCAUGGUUCUUGAGGACUGCUUACAGGAGUUUUCUUUCGGCAUAUCCUAAAAUGCAAGAGAGAAGAUGAAAACAUGAUUGGGAAAUCCAGCCAUUUUGUGGCUGGCUCCUGCACAAUGGACUCAAGUGAUGAGAAAAAGGUUCUCUGCACCAUGUCCCUCCAUUUACACACCCAUAAAAGGAUUGCAAUAAUCUAACCCUAAUUAUUUUCAGUAUCAAGUAUCCAUCAUGCAAUCGUUGUGCAUUUCACUCUUAAGAGAGAAUGAAUUUCAGAAGCAUGGAACCACUUGAGAAAGUGCCAGGACUCUGAAUUUUAUCCAGUUAAGUUUUGGUAUCCAGGCCAAGUGCUUGUUGUAAUGUAAUAUGGAUUAGAAAUGGAAAUGCUACCCUUGGCAUAAGUUAUCUAGCUAGCAUCUUGAAUUCCACCCAAGGGUUCUUGGCAGCCAGUGAGGGGAAUGGUUUCCAGAAUGGAGAGCGUGCAACUCUAUAGUAUGAUUUCCUUGACAUCAUUCUCAUGUUUUGGUAUAUGAAGGCAAACCCAAGUGGUAGGACAUGAGAAUGUGCUAACAGGAUUUCCUAACAUGGUUAUGAUUAUAUUGUAGACAAUGCAUUAGGCUGAGUCUUUUCUCCAGGCUAUGGAUUGUAAUAAUUCCUCUCACUGUAUUUGUUAAUUAGGUCCCUGAUCCAAAGCCAACUGAACUUUCCAUCAGGCCCUAGUAGUCCAGUUCUGUGUGGUAUUAAGCAUCUCAGAGUAUCUGGCCUUGGUUUCUUAAUACCCCAAAUUUAUUUUACUUUUGUCAUAAUACCUUUUGUCUGACUGUUUUUUUGUUUUUUGAGAACCUUUUCUGAUAUUAAAUUCAGGUAGCUCAUAGCUCCUGAUUCCAAGUUUCUGCCCCAGUAUUCAGCACCAGAGAUAAUUGUGCUGAUGAAUAAAGUAAGGAAGAAGGGUUUUUUGUUGUUGUUGUUUGUUGUUGCACUUUUUAAAUUUUUUUAAAAAGGAAAAAGAAUAAAAUUGCUGCAUAAUCUUGCACAGUUAUUUUUGGUUGAUCAUGUUGAACAAAUGAUUUUAAACUUUUUGAGGUCUUAUGAUAUAAAUGUCUUCAACUCCAUUAUAAAAACAUGACUUAAUAUAGUUUAAAGACUCUCUAAGCGGUUUUCUACAAACCCAUUUUUUUCUGCUC